This is a long non-coding RNA of Monodelphis domestica (gray short-tailed opossum), 270 nucleotides long. RefSeq lists it as uncharacterized. The record is from RefSeq and is a predicted model, not a curated record. NCBI's taxonomy places the organism in Eukaryota, Metazoa, Chordata, Mammalia, Didelphimorphia, Didelphidae.
UUCCCUAUGUUCCUGGAAUUCUCUCCUUUCUCAUUUUAAACAUCUGAAACCCCAAGUUUACUUCAAGGCUUAGCUCCAGUUCCACCAGAAGCCCAAAACAGGAAAGGAAGUGAAAAGGGAACGAUGGAUGUCUCUUUACUCUAUCUUCUACUCACUGCAGUCCCUCGGCAGACAAUAAUCCAGAUGAACUAUUUUCCUCACUGCUUACCAUCUUUUUCAUUGCUAAUUUAUUCCCCUUGACAUAGGAAUGAAAAUGUGGUAGCCACAAAA